RNAcentral lists this ribosomal RNA (497 nucleotides) under uncultured bacterium. RNAcentral describes it as "partial 16S ribosomal RNA". It matches the Rfam family "Bacterial small subunit ribosomal RNA", at positions 28 to 507 of the family's 1533-position model. The record is from RNAcentral.
GAUGAACGCUGGCGGCGUGCCUAAUACAUGCAAGUCGAGCGAACGGACGAGAAGCUUGCUUCUCUGAUGUUAGCGGCGGACGGGUGAGUAACACGUGGAUAACCUACCUAUAAGACUGGGAUAACUUCGGGAAACCGUAGCUAAUACCGGAUAAUAUUUUGAACCGCAUGGUUCAAAAGUGAAAGACGGUCUUGCUGUCACUUAUAGAUGGAUCCGCGCUGCAUUAGCUAGUUGGUAAGGUAACGGCUUACCAAGGCAACGAUGCAUAGCCGACCUGAGAGGGUGGUCGGCGACACUGGAACUGAGACACGGUCCAGACUCCUACGGGAGGCAGCAGUAGGGAACCUUCCGCAAUGGGCGAAAGCCUGACGGAGCAACGCCGCGUGAGUGAUGAAGGUCUUCGGAUCGUAAAACUCUGUUAUUAGGGAAGAACAUAUGUGUAAGUAACUGUGCACAUCUUGACGGUACCUAAUCAGAAAGCCACGGCUAACUACGUG